GGUUAAGCGACUAAGCGUACACGGUGGAUGCCUAGGCAAUCAGAGGCGAUGAAGGACGUGCUAAUCUGCGAUAAGCGUCGGUAAGGUGAUAUGAACCGUUACAACCGACGAUUUCCGAAUGGGGAAACCCAGUGCAAUUCGUUGCACUAUCGUUUGAUGAAUACAUAGUCAAACGAAGCGAACCGGGGGAACUGAAACAUCUCAGUACCCCGAGGAAAAGAAAUCAACCGAGAUUCCCCUAGUAGCGGCGAGCGAACGGGGAGCAGCCCAGAGUCUUAAUCAGCAUUAGCAUCAGGAGAACGGUCUGGAAAGUCCGGCAGUAAAGGGUGAUAGCCCCGUAUCCGAAGGUGUUAGUGUUGUGAACUCGACGAGUAGGGCGGGACACGUGUUAUCCUGUCUGAAUAUGGGGGGACCAUCCUCCAAGGCUAAAUACUCCUGAUUGA
RNAcentral lists this ribosomal RNA (443 nucleotides) under Providencia rettgeri. RNAcentral describes it as "partial 23S ribosomal RNA". It matches the Rfam family "Bacterial large subunit ribosomal RNA", at positions 1 to 483 of the family's 2925-position model. The record is from RNAcentral. Lineage: Bacteria; Pseudomonadati; Pseudomonadota; Gammaproteobacteria; Enterobacterales; Morganellaceae.